UUGAACGCUGGCGGCAUGCUUUACACAUGCAAGUCGAACGGCAGCGCGGGCUUCGGCCUGGCGGCGAGUGGCGAACGGGUGAGUAAUACAUCGGAACGUGCCCAGUAGUGGGGGAUAGCUCGGCGAAAGCCGGAUUAAUACCGCAUACGACCUGAGGGUGAAAGCGGGGGAUCUUCGGACCUCGCGCUAUUGGAGCGGCCGAUGGCAGAUUAGCUAGUUGGUGGGGUAAAGGCCUACCAAGGCGACGAUCUGUAGCUGGUCUGAGAGGACGACCAGCCACACUGGGACUGAGACACGGCCCAGACUCCUACGGGAGGCAGCAGUGGGGAAUUUUGGACAAUGGGCGAAAGCCUGAUCCAGCAAUGCCGCGUGUGUGAUGAAGGCCUUCGGGUUGUAAAGCACUUUUGGCGGGAACGAAAAGGACUGUGCCAAUACCACGGUUCGAUGACGGUACCCGCAGAAUAAGCACCGGCUAGCUACGUG
RNAcentral lists this ribosomal RNA (483 nucleotides) under uncultured bacterium. Its description in RNAcentral is "partial 16S ribosomal RNA". It matches the Rfam family "Bacterial small subunit ribosomal RNA", at positions 29 to 507 of the family's 1533-position model. The record is from RNAcentral.